GUGCUUAACACAUGCAAGUCGAGUGCGCGGUGCGGGUAGCAAUACUCGUACUGGCGCACGGCGCACGGGUGCGUAACACGUGGGCAAUCUGCCCUCCGAUGGGGAAUAACUCCGGGAAACCGAAGCUAAUUCCGCAUAACAUUCCCUGGACUCCGGUUCGGGGAUUCAAAGCAGCAAUGCGUCGGAGGAGGAGCCCGCGCCCGAUUAGCUAGUUGGCAGGGUAAUGGCCUACCAAGGCUAUGAUCGGUAGCUGGUCUGAGAGGAUGGCCAGCCACACUGGAACUGAGACACGGUCCAG
This 298-nucleotide ribosomal RNA is filed under the name uncultured bacterium. RNAcentral describes it as "partial 16S ribosomal RNA". It matches the Rfam family "Bacterial small subunit ribosomal RNA", at positions 44 to 334 of the family's 1533-position model. The record is from RNAcentral.